CAGAUUAUAGCUUAUAUUAUUAAAGCUUGUUAUUUACAUUAAUAUUAAAAUUGUCUUAAUUUGAUCUGA
Molecule: transfer RNA, 69 nt
Filed under: Hishimonoides recurvatis
Lineage: Eukaryota; Metazoa; Arthropoda; Insecta; Hemiptera; Cicadellidae
Description: tRNA-Val
Source: RNAcentral